Non-coding RNA from Oryctolagus cuniculus (rabbit), 594 nucleotides. Lineage: Eukaryota; Metazoa; Chordata; Mammalia; Lagomorpha; Leporidae. The record is from RefSeq and is a predicted model, not a curated record.
CCAUGGCCACGCGCCGUGCACCUGGGGCUGCUGCUGUUGCUGCUGAGCACGGGGCUGCACGCCCAGAGUCUCUGGGCCCUGGCGCACCAUCACCAUUGCCUCUGACAACCCCGCCCUGACCGCGGACGGCGGCCCCCUGCGGGUGCUGCUUGGAAACAUUCAGGGCGGCAACGCACUAACGAUCACCUUCUUCGUCAGGGAAAACGGGGUCUGCACCCUGCACAGUUGUGGCCCAGAGGAACGCGGACGGCGUCUAUGCAACUUUGAGGGCCAUAACUACUUCAAGUUCCUGGAGCAGGACAACGGCCACAUUGUCUUCCUCAGCUGAUGGCACAGUCAGCUGCAUCACCCUUGCCGCCGCCUGGGACCAGGAGCUGAGUGACGAGCACCUGGCGCGGUUCACGGCGCUGACAGAGGAGACUGGGAUUCCCAGGGAGAAUGUGGAUCGUGUGGCCGGCACGGCAGUGGCAGCCAUAUUGGAUUCUGGCAAAACUUCUCUGACAGAAACUCGAGGGCGUCCCUGUCAAGGAAAGUUGCCUUUCGGACCCAGGACCGAUUUCCUGACAGAAACUUGUAUGAGAAUUAAAAUGUUUU